CGCGUUCACGGUUCACAGGGGGUUGUGGGAGUCGGUGACUCGGUAAUGAU
This 50-nucleotide ribosomal RNA is filed under the name Hirsutella guyana. Its description in RNAcentral is "partial 28S ribosomal RNA". The record is from RNAcentral. Lineage: Eukaryota; Fungi; Ascomycota; Sordariomycetes; Hypocreales; Ophiocordycipitaceae.